GAUGAACGCUGGCGGCGUGCCUAACACAUGCAAGUCGAACGGACCCGAUCUUCGGAACGGGUUAGUGGCGGACGGGUGCGUAACACGUAGGUGACCUGCCCCGAAGUGGGGAAUAAUUCCGCGAAAGCGGGACUAAUACCGCAUGUGGUCAAGUGUUCGGUCAUUUGACUAAAGCUGCAAAGCGCUUUGGGAUGGGCCUGCGGCGGAUUAGGUAGUUGGUAGGGUAACGGCCUACCAAGCCGAUGAUCCGUAGGGGGCGUGAGAGCGUGACCCCCCACAUUGGCACUGAGACACGGGCCAAACUCCUACGGGAGGCAGCAGUGAGGAAUAUUGCACAAUGGGCGAAAGCCUGAUGCAGCAACGCCGCGUGAGGGACGAAGGCCUUCGGGUCGUAAACCUCUUUUCCGAGGGACGAGAUCAGGACGGUACCUCGGGAAUAAGUCUCGGCUAACUACGUGCCAGCAGCCGCGGUAAAACGUAGGAGGCGAGCGUUAUCCGGAUUUACUGGGCGUAAAGCGCACGCAGGCGGCUUCGUGAGUCGGACGUGAAAGCUCCUGGCUUAACUGGGAGAGGCCGUUCGAUACUGCGGGGCUUGAGGUUGGGAGAGGGGUGCGGAAUUCCCGGUGUAGUGGUGGAAUGCGUAGAUAUCGGGAGGAACACCAGUGGCGAAGGCGGCACCCUGGCCCACACCUGACGCUGAGGUGCGAAAGCGUGGGUAGCAAACAGGAUUAGAUACCCUGGUAGUCCACGCCGUAAACUAUGUCAACUAGGUGUUGGUAGUGUUACACUAUCAGUGCCGAAGCAAACGCGUUAAGUUGACCGCCUGGGGACUACGAGCGCAAGCUUA
RNAcentral lists this ribosomal RNA (847 nucleotides) under uncultured bacterium. RNAcentral's name for it is "bacterial SSU rRNA". It matches the Rfam family "Bacterial small subunit ribosomal RNA", at positions 28 to 896 of the family's 1533-position model. The record is from RNAcentral.